UACUGAAAUUUAGCAUGAGGGCAGCCUAUUGUGCUCUUGUUCCAUUUAUGAGUUAAAGCUCUUCAAGGCUACUACUGCUAUGAGAUUUCUCUAGCAAAUUCUACAUCCUUGAGCUAGCAUGAUGUUCUAAACAAGGGCAGAGAGUGUGCUUGUGUUAUUUUGAUUGUGCUUCCUAAGUUGUGGUGCCUCUAUAUGAUGAUAUGUAAAGCUAUUGGGGAAGGAAGAUGGAGGUGUAUUACCUCUGGAAAAUCGAAGGAGAGGCUGUCUUUGAUGCUUUUCUCCACUUGUUCCACCCUCUACUCUCGGUUUAUGCUGAGAUUUUGAAGUGUGUGUGAAAGGAAGUUGAAUGUGUUGUGGAGGAAAUUUAUAGGCUAAUUGUGGUGUACUAUGGGGAAUUAAAUGGGGCUGUUGUAUCACUUGUUGUUAUGCUGCAGAAAAUCCCACUUUAAUGAUCCCAUUGCCCCUCCUUCUUGGCUGCAAUUUGGCAUUUUAUAUGGGCACCUAGUACUUGGCUAGCAAUUUGAAUCGUUUGAUUGUGCAGUGAGCAGGUGGCUGUUGUGCCAAGGGUGUUGCAGGGCUGACUUUCCUCUUAUGGUGAUUCUUUGGGUCAUCUAUAACUAAAGAAGGUUGUCUCCAUCCCUAAGGUCGAGACAAGCUUGGUUGCCAAGCUGCUGGCUGUCUGGAACAGUUGAUACCUCGGCCCACGGCUGACCGGAAAACGGGCCGCGACUAUCGGCCCGGGAGGAGAGACCGAUUCUAUUCGAUUAAUGCACAUUUUAUCCUUUCC
Molecule: non-coding RNA, 787 nt
Organism: Salvia hispanica
Lineage: Eukaryota; Viridiplantae; Streptophyta; Magnoliopsida; Lamiales; Lamiaceae
Source: RefSeq, a predicted model, not a curated record